Unclassified non-coding RNA from Macaca mulatta (Rhesus monkey), 148 nucleotides. It matches the Rfam family "Metazoan signal recognition particle RNA". From Rfam's summary of the family: The signal recognition particle (SRP) is a universally conserved ribonucleoprotein. It is involved in the co-translational targeting of proteins to membranes. The eukaryotic SRP consists of a 300-nucleotide 7S RNA and six proteins: SRPs 72, 68, 54, 19, 14, and 9. The record is from Ensembl. Lineage: Eukaryota; Metazoa; Chordata; Mammalia; Primates; Cercopithecidae.
GCUGGGCAUGGUGGUGCACGCCUGUAGUCCCAGCUACUCGGGAGGCUGAGGCAGGAGAAUCGCUUGAACCCGGGAGGUGGAGGUUGCAGGGAGCCGAGAUGGCGCCACUGCACUCCAGCCUGGGCGACAGAGCGAGACUCUGCCUCAA